GAUGAACGCUAGCGGCAGGCUUAACACAUGCAAGUCGAGGGGCAGCGGGAUGUAGCAAUACAUUGCCGGCGACCGGCGGAUGGGUGCGUAACGCGUAUGCAACCUACCUUAUACAGGGGAAUAACCUUUCGAAAGGGAGACUAACACCCCAUAGUAUUACAAAUAGGCAUCUUUUUGUGAUUAAAUAUUUAUAGGUAUAAGAUGGGCAUGCGUAUGAUUAGCUAGUUGGUAAGGUAACGGCUUACCAAGGCGACGAUCAUUAGGGGUUCUGAGAGGAAGGUCCCCCACACUGGUACUGAGACACGGACCAGACUCCUACGGGAGGCAGCAGUGAGGAAUAUUGGUCAAUGGGCGCAAGCCUGAACCAGCCAUGCCGCGUGCAGGAAGACGGCCUUAUGGGUUGUAAACUGCUUUUACAUAAGACUAACCGUAUAUUUGCGAAUAUACCUGAAUGUAUUAUGAGAAUAAGGAUCGGCUAACUCCGUG
This 486-nucleotide ribosomal RNA is filed under the name uncultured organism. Its description in RNAcentral is "bacterial SSU rRNA". It matches the Rfam family "Bacterial small subunit ribosomal RNA", at positions 28 to 507 of the family's 1533-position model. The record is from RNAcentral.